CAGCUGCAGAGCGGGACAAGGGUGCUGCCGGCACAGGGCUGACCACGGAGCACAUCAAAAGAGGCCCACUGCUCAGUGGAGCGUGGAGGACGAGGAGGAGGCUGUCCACGAGCAAUGCCAGCAUGAGAGAGACAGGCAGCUUCAGGCGCAGGACGAGGAGGGAGGCGGCCAUGUCCCCGAGCGGCCGAAGCAGGAGAUGCUGUGAGCAGCCCCCUAACGCGUGCCUGGGCUCUAGCCCCUA
This 241-nucleotide long non-coding RNA is filed under the name Pan troglodytes (chimpanzee). RNAcentral describes it as "long non-coding RNA NONPTRT002502". The record is from RNAcentral. Lineage: Eukaryota; Metazoa; Chordata; Mammalia; Primates; Hominidae.